Long non-coding RNA from Diceros bicornis minor, 2245 nucleotides. RefSeq lists it as uncharacterized. The transcript is spliced from 3 exons. The record is from RefSeq and is a predicted model, not a curated record. NCBI's taxonomy places the organism in Eukaryota, Metazoa, Chordata, Mammalia, Perissodactyla, Rhinocerotidae.
AAGCUAUAAAUCGACAAACCAUCUGUAUGGAGUAAGAAAGGACUCAAAGUUCAUGAUUUUCCAUGUGGAUAUCCAACUGAAUCAGCACCAUUAAUUGAGAAGAAAAUCCUUUCUCCAUUGCAUUGUGUGUCAACUUUGUCAUAUAUCAGAAUGAAGUUCAAGAUCCUUAGCCUGAUACUUGUGAGGCCUUCCCUGCUUUGGCGCCCGGCAUCUUUACAGUCAUCUUGCUCUGCCUGCCAACACCUGGACUUGGCUCCAGACGUGCUGAAUCGCUCCUUGAAUGUUUCUCACAUCCUUGUCUGUGCGAAAACUGAAGAGCCACAGCACUGCAGGGAUCCCUUGACCAUGAUGGCUAUGCGGUCACCCAGAAUGUCAGCUUCAUCCAUGUGGUGGGUGGUCAGUAAGACAGUACGAUCCUGUUUACACCGCUGAAGGACAUCCCAGGUGAAUCUCCUCGAGACUGGGUCCAUGCCAGAUGUCGGCUCAUCAAGUAUCACCACCUGAAGACCAGAAGAACAAUUCCAUGGUCAUAUUUAAUUCAUGCUAUGCCCCUUACGGUGUAACUUACUAUUCAUGGGGAACAUAUUUUGGCCAAGAUACAUAAUCUAGAUUAUACUAUAUUAAGAACUCGGCAAAAUUAACAAUACUUUCAAAUUCAUAACCACAUUAUAGCAUCUGGGUCAAUAAUGGGAAUCCCCUCUGAUUAUAAUUUGUGAAGUUCCUUUUAGAGGAGUUAGAUUCAUAUCAGCUGUCAGGUUUGUGUCAGCUGAGUUUUAUAUUUCGGCUAGAGCAGGGAUCCAUGUUAAUCAUUCUUUACCUUGGAUCCUCCUAUAAGUGCUAUAAUGAUGGAGAGUUUGCGCUUCAUUCCUCCACUCAGCGACUGUGAAAGUGCAUCAUGCUUUUCUAGCAGGCCAAAAGCAAGCAGCAUUUUGUCAAUUUCUGUGGGACGCUCCUUGGGAGGUAUUCCUUUUAUCUAGAAAGAGAUGCCUGAGUUUACACGGUGCUUCCAGCUUUAUCCUUAGAAAAUUCUUACAUCAAAACUUUUCUUACACAGCUAUCUUGAUAUAAGACGUUUCUUCUUCCCUUUGCCUCCCUUUAUGGUAAAAGAACAGUGCCUCAAAAAAAAUGAACUUCCACUAAAUAAGGGUAAGGAUGUUGAUCCUUUGUCACACUGCCUGAAGCAUAUGAAAAGAGUAGGGGGAAAGAAUAUAUCUCUGGCUCACCACAGAGUAGAAAUAGAGAUGUUCUGAUACUGUCAAGUCUGGAAACAAUAUGUCAUCCUGGGGGCACAUGCCCAUGCUUUUCCUGACUUGAACCAUGUCUUUUGAGAUAUCAUAUCCAUUAAUAUAGACCUUUCCACGGGUAGGAAGAUAGAAACCUAGAAUUAAGCAGAAGAUAUGACAGAAGCUUAGCUUCAGUGAAAGAACCUGACAACACACUGUCCACUAGCACCCCAACUUCAUAGUCUACUUAUGGAUCACUCAAAAGAAUUAUCAGUAUCUCUUACAGAAGAAAUAGUCUGGUAAAUAUCAAUGGUUACCCUCUGAUGAUGGGGAAAGAAACAAGUUUUUCCUUUUUUUUUGUUUAUCCACAUAUUCCACUUUUCAAGUAUAAAAUAAUAUUAAUUAUUUGAGUAAUAAAAAAUGUUGUGAGGAAUUUGCUGUUCUAAUAUCCUAGUACUGCUCUCUGCCAUUUGACAACAUAUGUGAACCAUAUUAUGAUCUGAACACCGCAUUAUAAACACUGUGUUAGAUUUUUUAAAAAUGAAAAAUUCAUAACACAGGACCCUUAGCCUCAAGAAGUCAAAAUUUAGUUGGAAGAUAAUGCAUAAUCACAUAAAAUAGUCUAAAAAUAUUUACAAAGCAUUUAUGCAUAGAUGGCAACCAGGCCAGUUUUAUGGUGAAAUAUCUGAUAAUAUACUAAAUAUAGCUACAAAACUUCUUAAAUUCCACGACUCAUUAAUUCUACUUUACAAAAUACACUCUGAAGGGGAAAAAUGUAUUCAAGAUUGUCCAUUACAUUUAGGGUGAUUGAAUGCCCCUAUUUACUCCUGUUGUCUAAGCCUUCUACCCAUUUGGACAUUCGCCCUGGAUUUUUUAUUUGUAACAAAGUGUCAUUAUUAAUGGUGAUACUAAAAUAAAGUGGGAUGGCGGCGGGUUGGAAUACCUUUACUUUGUACAUCCAACCUCUGGAAUUGUUUUUCUAGUAGUAUGUGAGCAGCAUGGCAAUAAAUAAAGUUGUUACA